Nerophis ophidion (straightnose pipefish) is the source of this 801-nucleotide long non-coding RNA. RefSeq lists it as uncharacterized. The transcript is spliced from 4 exons. NCBI's taxonomy places the organism in Eukaryota, Metazoa, Chordata, Actinopteri, Syngnathiformes, Syngnathidae. The record is from RefSeq and is a predicted model, not a curated record.
AGGGCUACAUAAGUUAACAUUGAUUGAUUGAUUGUUAACUGUUUCUAGGACACACACUCCUUGAGUUUCAGGUAUCAGUGCGUGCUUAGAUCAGCCAAAUCCUGGCAGGAAAACAUCAUUUGUCACCUCAAAUAAGUUAUCGGGUUCCAGAUUUGGUUUUAGUACCUUUGAUGACCGGGACUCCAUCUCUGUCUGUGACCACGAUGGCGUGAAUGCCUUCAACACUGCGCAAGAGCAGAAAGUCCAUUAUUCAUACAGGAACUUCUGUAAUCUUGGACAAAGCAAAACAGAUGGCACUUGACAAGUUCUUCAUACGCACCUUUGUAAUUGUUUGAACAGGUACUUCUUUAGGUCCUGGAAAAAGAAAAAGAUGAAUGUUUACAAAAGUGUCAAAAACCAGAAUCUGUCUUAAAAAUAAAGUACUAUUAUAAUGUAAAUAUUGUGACGAUUUUAGAGACAUCUAAAAACUUUGGAUUUUGAAUCAAUGGUCAUUUUUCGGUUAGUGUAUUUUUGGGACCCCAGGGCGCACUGUUUCAUCUGACAUCACAUGGACGAAGGUGAAACUUUACUAUGGAUCACAUCGAACAUGGAUCCCGACCGAAUGUCAACCAGCAGGUUUCGCUGCCGUCAACUCCCCUGAGACACUGGCGUCAAGACACCCGUGGAGACACACCUCCGACUAUCAGCGGUCACAGGGGAUGCUGGAGCCUAUCUCAGCUGCAUUCGGGCGGAAGGCGGUGUACACCCUGGACAGGUCACCACCUCAUCACACGGCGGUUUCAAAAUAAAGUAUCUAUUUUA